UACGUAGGUGGCAAGCGUUGUUCGGAAUUACUGGGCGUAAAGCGCGCGUAGGCGGGCUUGUAAGUCUCGUGUGAAAUCCCUCGGCUUAACUGAGGAACUGCACGGGAUACUGCUUGACUUGAGUUCGGGAGAGGGAAGCGGAAUUCCGGGUGUAGCGGUGAAAUGCGUAGAUAUCCGGAGGAACACCGGUGGCGAAGGCGGCUUCCUGGACCGACACUGACGCUGAGGCGCGAAAGCCUGGGGAGCAAACGGG
RNAcentral lists this ribosomal RNA (253 nucleotides) under uncultured bacterium. RNAcentral describes it as "partial 16S ribosomal RNA". It matches the Rfam family "Bacterial small subunit ribosomal RNA", at positions 524 to 776 of the family's 1533-position model. The record is from RNAcentral.